CCGAGUGCCUCACGGACUCCAGACCAUGCUGAUGCCCUCACUUCACCUUAAUCUGUGUCCACAGACUGCAUCUAGCCGCAGCAAGGUGCAUGUUGUAAGUGCAUCUGGUCACCAGGGGCCAGGUUACAGAGAGCGAUUCGCUGUACACACACAGUGGUGCCAGAACACACCCUGCACAUGCACCAUCCUGGACAGUCCAUUCUGACGUGGACCUUCCUCUUAAAACAGUCCACCAUUCUGACGUGGACCUUUCUCCUAAACAGUCUACCAUUCCGAUGUGGACCUUCCCCCUGAGCCAGCACCUGGACAGUCCACCAUUGUGACGUGGACCUCCCUCCCGAGCCAGCACCUGGACAGUCCACCAUUGUGACGUGGACCUCCCUCCCGAGCCACUACCCGGACAGUCCACCAUUGUGACGUGGACCUCCCUCCCGAGCCAGCACCUGGACAGUCCACCAUUGUGACGUGGACCUCCCUCCUGAGCCACUACCUGGACAGUCCACCAUUGUGACGUGGACCUCCCUCCUGAGCCAGCACCUGGACAGUCCACCAUUGUGACGUGGACCUCCCCCCUGAGCCACUACCCGGACAGUCCACCAUUGUGACGUGGACCUCCCUCCCGAGCCAGCACCCGGACAGUCCACCAUUGUGACGUGGACCUCCCUCCCGAGCCAGUACCCGGACAGUCCACCAUUGUGACGUGGACCUCCCUCCUGAGCCAGUACCUGGACAGUCCACCAUUGUGACGUGGACCUCCCUCCCGAGCCACUACCCGGACAGUCCACCAUUGUGACGUGGACCUCCCUCCCGAGCCAGCACCUGGACAGUCCACCAUUGUGACGUGGACCUCCCUCCCGAGCCACUACCCGGACAGUCCACCAUUGUGACGUGGACCUCCCUCCUGAGCCACUACCUGGACAGUCCACCAUUGUGACGUGGACCUCCCUCCCGAGCCAGCACCUGGACAGUCCACCAUUGUGACGUGGACCUCCCUCCUGAGCCACUACCUGGACAGUCCACCAUUGUGACGUGGACCUCCCCCCUGAGCCAGUACCUGGACAGUCCACCAUUCCGAUGCGGACCUUCCUCCUGAGCCAGCACCCAGCGUGCUGCUCCUGAGAAAUCAUUCGUCAACUGAUUUUGGAGUUACUGCUUCAGCAUCUUGCUGAUUACUAAUAGAUUUCCUCAUUGUUAAAUUUAGAUGCAGGGAGAAAAAACAAUUUCCAGAAAUAAUUCACCCUGUUGGGAAGCCAGACACCUAGUACUGUCUCUAACUCAGCAACUAACUGUGUGGUUUCGGGUGAAUCACACAGUCCUGUGCGUUGGUCUAGAUGUUUUCUCAGGUCCCUUUGGGCAAGAAUACAGCCA
RNAcentral lists this long non-coding RNA (1368 nucleotides) under Homo sapiens (human). RNAcentral describes it as "HSALNT0344507". Lineage: Eukaryota; Metazoa; Chordata; Mammalia; Primates; Hominidae. The record is from RNAcentral.